GUGCUCACUUUGGCAGCACAUAUACGAAAAUUGGAACAGUACAGAGAAGAUUAGCAUGGCCCCUGUGCUUAGUACGGAGCCUGGAACAUAUUAAGUGCUUAACAAAUAU
Small nuclear RNA from Ornithorhynchus anatinus (platypus), 109 nucleotides. The record is from RefSeq and is a predicted model, not a curated record. NCBI's taxonomy places the organism in Eukaryota, Metazoa, Chordata, Mammalia, Monotremata, Ornithorhynchidae.